CAGUAGCCGCGGUAAUACGUAGGGUGCAAGCGUUGUCCGGAAUUAUUGGGCGUAAAGAGCUCGUAGGCGGUUUGUCGCGUCUGCUGUGAAAUCUGGGGGCUCAACCCCCAGCCUGCAGUGGGUACGGGCAGACUAGAGUGCGGUAGGGGAGAUUGGAAUUCCUGGUGUAGCGGUGGAAUGCGCAGAUAUCAGGAGGAACACCGAUGGCGAAGGCAGAUCUCUGGGCCGUAACUGACGCUGAGGAGCGAAAGCAUGGGGAGCGAACAGGAUUAGAUACCCCAGUAGUCCCUGUCUCUUAUAC
RNAcentral lists this ribosomal RNA (301 nucleotides) under uncultured bacterium. RNAcentral's name for it is "partial 16S ribosomal RNA". It matches the Rfam family "Bacterial small subunit ribosomal RNA", at positions 509 to 807 of the family's 1533-position model. The record is from RNAcentral.